UACGUAGGGGGCAAGCGUUGUCCGGAUUUAUUGGGCGUAAAGAGCGUGUAGGCGGCUUGGUAGGUCCGCUGUGAAAACUCGAGGCUCAACCUCGAGAUGUCGGCGGAAACCACUUGGCUAGAGUCCGGAAGAGGAGAGUGGAAUUCCCGGUGUAGCGGUGAAAUGCGCAGAUAUCGGGAAGAACACCUAUGGCGAAGGCAGCUCGCUGGGACGGUACUGACGCUGAGGCGCGAAAGCGUGGGGAGCAAACAGG
RNAcentral lists this ribosomal RNA (253 nucleotides) under uncultured bacterium. RNAcentral describes it as "partial 16S ribosomal RNA". It matches the Rfam family "Bacterial small subunit ribosomal RNA", at positions 524 to 776 of the family's 1533-position model. The record is from RNAcentral.